UAUUUUAUAAUUUCUUUUGCAGUACCACUCGAAUAUAAAUAAAAUUAUGGCUGCUUUCUAAUUUUGGAGCUACUGCUAGGAGUUUUCUAAUUAAGGUACUCAGGAUCAUCAACACACGCUCUAUUGAGAUCAUGCUUCAUCAACUUUUGGGUCAGUGAUGUUCCAUAGGUGAAGACGAAGAUGAUUCUUCAACAGCUUCUACUCUUCCUUCAUUGUGGUGGGAGCUAUGAACCGGUGUUGCUCCGCACUCUCUUCUCCAUGGCUAAGUUUUUUGUUGAAGGCUACUAACAGUUGGUGAAUUCCCAUAUAUUGGGAACAACAUUCCUAUCUUUCUAGCUUAUGCUUUGUAUAGAAAAUUGAGUUACUUUUGGUACUUUUGGAUGAUAUCUUGAGGGUGAGCUAGGGACAUGUCUUAGCCUCUGCCAAGUCUUUAAAGUAGAAGGUAUGGUUGGAAAAUAAUAUGUAUGAUCUUCAAAUGACUUGGAAUCUUAUUUUAUAUGGAAUCCCUUA
This is a long non-coding RNA of Solanum dulcamara, 510 nucleotides long. RefSeq lists it as uncharacterized. NCBI's taxonomy places the organism in Eukaryota, Viridiplantae, Streptophyta, Magnoliopsida, Solanales, Solanaceae. The record is from RefSeq and is a predicted model, not a curated record. The transcript is spliced from 4 exons.